Oenanthe melanoleuca is the source of this 306-nucleotide long non-coding RNA. RefSeq lists it as uncharacterized. The transcript has 5 exons. The record is from RefSeq and is a predicted model, not a curated record. Lineage: Eukaryota; Metazoa; Chordata; Aves; Passeriformes; Muscicapidae.
CCCCCCCAGCACAGGCCAAGGCGCUCCUGGAGGGAACCCAAGAUGAUCUGCGGGAGAUUGAUUUAGACAAUGUCGUGAACCUGGAGACGCCUCUGCCCCCAGUUGUUGAAAAGCUGGAGGCUGUUCUGCGGCAGAAGCGCCUGGCUGCCUCUCUGGGUGCCUAGGAUUGCAAGUUAUGGGGACACCGGGUGUCCUGAUCCCCUCUGGCGGCAUGAGGAGAUGAUCAUCCCUGGAGGAUCCCCCUGAACCCUUUGAGCCCUGGGCUAUUUCCCCUGAAUAAUCAAUAAACCCUUUGAGCAAAGCUUU